This 441-nucleotide ribosomal RNA is filed under the name uncultured bacterium. RNAcentral describes it as "partial 16S ribosomal RNA". It matches the Rfam family "Bacterial small subunit ribosomal RNA", at positions 338 to 795 of the family's 1533-position model. The record is from RNAcentral.
CCUACGGGAGGCAGCAGUGGGGGAUAUUGCACAAUGGGGGGAACCCUGAUGCAGCGACGCCGCGUGGGUGAAGGAGUGCUUCGGCAUGUAAAGCCCUAUCGGCAGGGAAGAAGCAAGACGGUACCUGCAAAGUAAGCACCGGCUAACUCCGUGCCAGCAGCCGCGGUAAUACGGAGGGUCCGAGCGUUAAUCGGAAUUACUGGGCGUAAAGCGCUCGUAGGCGGUAUGUCAAGUCAAGGGUGAAAUACCCGGGCUCAACGGUGGAACUGCCUUUGAAACUGGCAAACUGGAGUGUGUGAGAGGAUAGUGGAAUUCCAGGUGUAGGAGUGAAAUCCGUAGAUAUCUGGAGGAACCUCAGUGGCGAAGGCGACUAUCUGGCACAUAACUGACGCUGAGGAGCGAAAGCGUGGGUAGCAAACAGGAUUAGAUACCCCUGUAGUC